GGGGGCGUAGCUCAGUUGGUCAGAGCGCCGGACUCAUAAUCUGGUGGCCGCUGGUUCGAGUCCAGCCGCCCCCA
Molecule: transfer RNA, 74 nt
Filed under: Actinomycetota bacterium
Lineage: Bacteria; Bacillati; Actinomycetota
Also listed under: 1 other name
Description: tRNA-Ile
Rfam family: tRNA
About the family: Transfer RNA (tRNA) molecules are approximately 80 nucleotides in length.
Source: RNAcentral